CCUACGGGGGGCUGCAGUCGAGAAUCUUCGGCAAUGGGCGCAAGCCUGACCGAGCGACGCCGCGUGCGGGAUGAAGGCCUUCGGGUUGUAAACCGCUGUCGUAGGGGAACAAAUGUAAGGGGGUUCUCCCCUUUACUUGAGUGAUCCUAGGAGGAAGGACGGGCUAAGUUCGUGCCAGCAGCCGCGGUAAGACGAACCGUCCGAACGUUAUUCGGUAUCACUGGGCUUAAAGAGUUCGUAGGCGGCCCGACAGGUGAGGUGUGAAAUCCCUCGGCUCAACCGAGGAACUGCGCUUCAAACCGUCAGGCUUGAGGGAGACAGAGGUAGGCGGAACAGAUGGUGGAGCGGUGAAAUGCGUUGAUAUCAUCUGGAACACCGGUGGCGAAAGCGGCCUACUGGGUCUUUUCUGACGCUGAGGAGCGAAAGCUAGGGUAGCGAACGGGCUUAGAUACCCCUGUAGUC
This 462-nucleotide ribosomal RNA is filed under the name uncultured bacterium. Its description in RNAcentral is "bacterial SSU rRNA". It matches the Rfam family "Bacterial small subunit ribosomal RNA", at positions 338 to 795 of the family's 1533-position model. The record is from RNAcentral.